GAGCACCCCCUUGACCAAGGCCGUGGCCCCUUUCCUGGGCAGCCUGCAUUCAGCAACUGGUAAUGCAGCCAUAUAAGAGCCUGGCAUUCUCGCCUUAACUAGGGACAACUGUGCAGGGUCAUUUCCGCCCAGAGCUCGCCUGGGUCAGCAGAGGCCUUGGCUGAGGCAGCAUGCCGGCUCGGCUUCCCACUCCCUCCCCUGCAGCCCUUCCUUUCCUUCCCCAGGUGUUGGUCCCAAAUGUAAGAGCAGCCGUGGGAUGUCGUCCCUGGCUGGGUGUCCACUUCCCUGCACCUCACCCCGGGGAGGAAGAGCAGGAGCUUUGGCUGGCAGUCGGCCCCUCUGCCACACUGACUCCACAGGCCACGGCCUCGAGGCUCACCUCACAGGAACACCAGGAAGGAGCGCUGUGCCACACUCCUCCCGCAGAUUCAGGAAGCGCAUCAGAGAACAAAGAGGACACUGGAAGACCAGCAGGGAACACGUCUGGAAGUCGGGUGGGGCUCCAGGGGACCGCAGGAGGCAGAGGCGAAGACCAGCUCCCACGGGCCUAGGGGACUGGCCAGCAUCCUGAUGAGGUGGUGGCCAUUGUACAACAGGGAUGUCCACAGUGUUUCCUGGGGCGUUUGUAACUCAGAUUUCUACUAUGUCCAUCGCCGUCCUUUGAUCACAGGCCUGUCCAGAGAGUUCUUUCUGUACAACCUUGUCUUCCUGUGAGGGAAGCGAUCAGAAUUGUCUUCAGGACCGGCCGAGAGAUGCUGGAGGAAAAACAGUCUGAGUUGCUGUGAUCAUGAAUAUGCUAACUUGCAAAUCACCCGAGCUGGGAAACAAGCACUAGAAACUGCCCACGGGCCUGAAAACUUGUCACACGUCGGCACAAGCAAACCAGUGUACAGUCUGUGAGAGGUCACUGGCAGCACACAUGGUCCCCAAAAUGCAAGUGUAGUUUUGUGUCUCUCUACAGGUGAAUGUGUUUCAGUUUUUAUAAGCCUCAGAAGCUCGUUUCUUUUCUCUGUCUCAUGCUCCCCGAGGCAGGUGAAGCUAAUGUAUAUGGUCACUGAAUACAUUUCAAGAUUUUCCAGGCUCCGACUUCUUUUCCCUCUCUUCUCCUGAAGUGUAGGAGUGGUGGCAACAUCAGGUAGAACACACAGAGGAAAAUGGCAGGGGCGGAUGCUGACACGAUGCUCGGAGGACCGCACUCCUUUCUCAGCCUGGCCUGCUUAGCAAAGCUGUUUGCAAAGAGAAAUACAUUUUGCUGUCCCCCUGGUUGAGGACACUCUGCCGUUUCCAGGUGGUAAAAAUGCAACAGAAACUGAUGCCUUUUCCUAGCGCACUGCCUUCCUGGGGAAAAAGCCCUGGCCAACCAACAGAGCUGAGCACACGUCGUAUUUCUAAGCAGGGUCAUCUGCUGGAGGUCCAGGUAGUUUGGUAAGUGACUGAAGCAAGAAGGAAAUACUUCUCCUUAAGGAGAAAAAGUGUUAAUCUCUUAAUUUAAACAGAAUAUCUCCUCCAGAAUGGAAGACACUAACAUUUGGUCUUUGAAGUGACAUGCUCGCUUUUGACCCACAACCCAGACAAAGAGCUUCUAGGAGGGGCCUUUGAGGCCGCUCUGAGCGGCUGCCCUCACACCUGGCCACAGGCUACAGAACAUAUUUUAAAAAGCCAGAUGUGCAACAGCUACACAUUUCCA
Long non-coding RNA from Equus caballus (horse), 1687 nucleotides. Lineage: Eukaryota; Metazoa; Chordata; Mammalia; Perissodactyla; Equidae. The record is from Ensembl.